AAUAAAGGUCAAACUUUUAAUUUUGCUCCAAUAACAAUUUAGGAUGUCCAAAAAUCUCUUAAAGCUAUACAGACCACCAGAUGGRGUACAAUCCAGUGGCAGUGAGGGAAUCCAGAGGAGGGACAGAUCUGCAGGUGGAGUGAGUGACAGGAAGUGGAYGCUUUUGUGCUCUGAAUAAUAAUCUUUCCAGGACUGUGGGUUGGUGGAAAAGUGGUGGAGGGUGGCUGAKUAAUGGCACUGAUGCACCGGAAUUCUUUUUUUCCAGGAAAACCAUUUAAGGAGCAGAGAGGAGCGCAAUGGAGAUGAGCCAACAAGCUGAACAUGAAGCAGGACGUACCAGAGGAGAGGCUGGGGAACAGUCUGGUCAAUGAGGGAUCCAAGGAGCAUGCACUGCAAAAGAGAGGGACAAUCAGCGAUAAAGAAAAGGACACUUAUAGGAAAACUGCUCCUUCCUAAAGCUGAUAGUGAACACCAGCUGGAUCCCAUCAUGACUGCGCAGARUGAGGAACGCAGGAAAACACUCCUGCAUGCAACUCUGCAGAGCUAACACAAGGUGUGUUGGACUUCCUGCUUUUCGUAAUUUCUUUUAAUAUUUGUUUUUUGAAUGUUUUUGUUUUUGAUGUUUUAAUUUGCUUGGUUUACUGUGAUGUGGGAACUAUGUGCUGUAUUUGCUGCUGCCCAUUGGCCAAGUUUUUGGUGAGGAAAAAGCAAAGUUUUUUUUAAUCUGUUGACAUUUACAUGGUCAGAUACAAGCCUACAUAUUAUUGCUUAGCGUUGUUUGUGAAUGUGAUAAAAUUCAAAUAUCAAAUUUUCAACAAAACUUA
This is a long non-coding RNA of Austrofundulus limnaeus, 824 nucleotides long. RefSeq lists it as uncharacterized. NCBI's taxonomy places the organism in Eukaryota, Metazoa, Chordata, Actinopteri, Cyprinodontiformes, Rivulidae. The record is from RefSeq and is a predicted model, not a curated record. The transcript is spliced from 2 exons.